This 2299-nucleotide long non-coding RNA is filed under the name Salvia miltiorrhiza (redroot sage). RNAcentral's name for it is "long non-coding RNA (SMIL_LNC002897)". Lineage: Eukaryota; Viridiplantae; Streptophyta; Magnoliopsida; Lamiales; Lamiaceae. The record is from RNAcentral.
UCGUAGAUAUUUUCUUCUCUCUCUUCAUCUUUUUGUGUCUCUCUGGCCACAACAUUACACUUAAUUCACUUCUGCCUAAAGCCUUCUUCACCUCGACACUUCUCCUUUAUCGGGAAACUGCGAUUACGCAUCGAGAUCUUCAUAUCUCAUCGCUCUUCCUCUAAAUUCACAUGUAAAACAUUGUUGCCUUUGUUCAUUAGGUGCUGAAAGAAUCUCCAAGACGCAGGUGAUUCUCGUCUGCUUUCUCUACUUUGGCUUUUGUGAUUUUCGAAUUGUUCAUAUGAUUUUGUGGUUUGAUUGGAUUAUUUCAUUGAUCUGUUGGAGGAGAGUUUGACUUGGCUUAUGUUGGACGUACAUGCAUUACAUUCUGUUGUUUUCAGCUAGUUUUUGUUGUGAGAAGUUAUUCACACGUUUUCGUGUAUUUUCGUAUACAAUCUCUCAUCUCUGUGAUGUUUUUGUCAUAAGCGAAUGAUCCUUUGUUUCGUUUUGGUUUCUAUUUGAUUAGCUGCUUUUGAUUUCUUGGGUAUAGUUUCUGGUAUUAAUUUAAUCUGCUUUCUAUUUGAUAUCCAGCCAAUCGAAAUUGUGAAAGGGUUUAAGGUUCUUGAAGCCAAAAUCUACUGCUCCACAAUCUAUAAGGUGAAAUAAAGUAGAAAUAUGAUUCUGUUGAACUCAUAGUGCUAAUUGAUGGUGUUUGAUUUUAUGGUUUUAGUUCUUCGUGCGAUUCCUUGCUUGAUACCAAUCCUGUCAUAUUACCAAGGGAUAUAUAAUUAUUGAAGCUAUGGCGACUGUCUCCACUAUACAUAAGGUACAAUUUAUAAAUUCACCACAUUCAUAGUUUUGAUCAUCAAAUUCAUCAGAAACGUUUGUUUUCAAUUCGUUUUCAGCUUCUCAUGGUUAUGCAAAUUACUGUGAAUUUAUAAUUUGUGAUUCUGCAUCUCUUUGUCUGAUUGAACUUUGCUUGUUUUCACCUAGUAUUAUGAUGAAUAAUAAAUUAUUUCUAGACAUAUGGUUUGACGGACAUGUCUUCACUUUUACUAUGAAUUAUCUUCCCCACCCCCAAUAAAUGGCGAUUUUAAUAUUCAAUUUUACUGAAGCAUCAAUUUGGACAUGUCUCAUGUGUAUCAGUUUUAUCUUUAUCUAACAAGCAUUAGUAGGGAGUCUAGGGACUACAGCUGCGACAUCAAUUACCACAAUAUUAGCUCGAGCUAACCUUAACAUUUAUUGCUUCUGCCUUCAGCCAUUAUUACAAUGAUCAUGAGACUAUGUACAUAAAAAUCUCUAGUCUUUCCGUAUGAUCUUAAUGAUCAGGAUGGCCAUAUUGUGAACCACAGCAUUUCUAGUUCAUUUGAGCCAUUCUCUCUUUGGAUUGUAUGACAACAUUGGCAUAAAACUGGUAAACAACUUCUGUGUGCAACGUGUCAUUGCUGCAGUUGAAGCCUGUUUCAAGUGUCAAUUUUAUGGUCAUUUGAUAAGACAAACAAUGGCUGAAACCAUUUUUAGGGUGUGUGUGUGUGUGUGUGUGUUAAUUAGGGAUGCAUAGAGCUAACCCGAAAUUCAUCACAUCUUUUGGUGCACCAUUUGUUUGCUUUUGUGGCUGGCUUAGCUCAAGAUUAAUAGGUAUAAAAGGAUAUCCAUCGUUGAUGCUGUGCAUAUUCUGGGGAACCCUGUUUUCUUCGCUUGUGCUUCCCGGGCCAUAAACCUAAAUCAGAACUUGCUUUAAUUUAGACCGAAAUUUACUUUGACAGUUGACUUCUGGCCUACAUUUUAUUCAUCAUACAAGUUUGAUACUUAGUCGUAGUCUGUCAAUACCUUUUUCUUCAAAUCCUCAUUUUCCUUGGCAACAAGAUUCAUCUUCUUGUGAAGUUCCAUAUUCUCUUGAUGGAUGACGUUUCCCUGUAACAAGAUCAAUGAUGCUAUCCCCAAUUCUAAACAUGAAUAUAAAAUAGAAACUCUAGCUUGUUAAUUGUCUCAAAAGUGGACCUUCUGAUUUAAGUCGUUGAUUUGAGUAGUCAGAGUUUGUUCCUGCGAGAGAUAAAUAAAUUAAAUUAAAACUUAUAUGAGAACCUGUCCAUAUAGUUAUGCUAGACAUGAUUGUUACUUGCCUUUUUCACACGAACGCCUUUCAAGCUCAUCUCUAGUUGAUUUUCCAGAUUUUGGAGGUCUCUGAUGUUCAAUCCAGCAAGUUCUUCUCCCAAAAGCUUCCUGCAACCGCAACAGAAGAGGCAAGUCAUUUCAGAUAAAAGAUGAGAGGUAUCAGCAUUUUUUAGGAGGCCCUGUGCCUAUUGUAGUCCUACUAACU